AUACAUACACAUAUAUGUUAAAAAAUAAAACAAACAUAUAUAUAUAUAUAUAUUAAAAGGGAUAAAAAUAUAUUUGAUUAACAGGUACAAGCUUUAUGUGAAAGUCAUGGAUAACACAAGCCAGAUCAAACUCAUGUACUUUUCUAUUCACCAAAAAAAAAAAAAACUCAUGUACUUUUCUAUACUGCGGCAGUUGACAUUGUCCCUGAGUCCUAGAUAGAUGGUUCAUAUGAUGUCGUUAUAAUAUAAUUAUCGUGUUUCUGUUAUAAAACAUAUAGUGGCUGAUAUAAAGAUUAGGUUUUCUUCUUUUAAGCGAUGAGAGUCGAGAAGAUUCAACUCCUUUAUCUAAAUGUUUGUUAGAUGUUAAAGAUGAUGUUUCUUAUAAGUCAUCAAUAACAAAAUGCGUAUGCUUGGAACCGGUUACAAAGGACGAUGGCUUGACUAAACUAAGGAGGGGUUAUUGGAUCAUUGAUUUCGA
This 478-nucleotide long non-coding RNA is filed under the name Capsella rubella. RNAcentral's name for it is "long non-coding RNA (CRUB_LNC002820)". The record is from RNAcentral. Lineage: Eukaryota; Viridiplantae; Streptophyta; Magnoliopsida; Brassicales; Brassicaceae.